GACGAACCGAGCGAACGUUGUUCGGAAUAACUGGGCUUAAAGGGCGCGUAGGCGGGGCGCCAAGUUCGAGGUGAAAUCCUCCGGCUCAACCGGAGAACUGCCUCGAAUACUGGAGGCCUCGAGGCGGGUAGGGGCAUGCGGAACUGUGGGUGGAGCGGUGAAAUGCGUUGAUAUCCACAGGAACUCCGGUGGCGAAGGCGGCAUGCUGGACCCGAUCUGACGCUGAGGCGCGAAAGCCAGGGGAGCAAACGGG
RNAcentral lists this ribosomal RNA (253 nucleotides) under uncultured bacterium. RNAcentral describes it as "partial 16S ribosomal RNA". It matches the Rfam family "Bacterial small subunit ribosomal RNA", at positions 524 to 776 of the family's 1533-position model. The record is from RNAcentral.